GACGAACGCUGGCGGCGUGCUUAACACAUGCAAGUCGAACGGAAAGGCCCUGCUUUUGUGGGGUGCUCGAGUGGCGAACGGGUGAGUAACACGUGAGUAACCUGCCCUUUACUUUGGGAUAACUUCAGGAAACUGGGGCUAAUACCGGAUAGGAGCUCCUGCUGCAUGGUGGGGGUUGGAAAGUUUCGGCGGUUGGGGAUGGACUCGCGGCUUAUUAGCUUGUUGGUGGGGUAGUGGCUUACCAAGGCUUUGACGGGUAGCCGGCAUGAGAGGGUGACCGGCCACAAUGGGACUGAGAGACGGCCCAGACUCGUACGGGAGGCAGCAGUGGGGAAUAUUGCACAAUGGGCGGAAGCCUGAUGCAGCAACGCCGCGUGCGGGAUGACGGCCUUCGGGUUGUAAACCGCUUUCGCCUGUGACGAAGCGUGAGUGACGGUAAUGGGUAAAGAAGCACCGGCUAACUACGUG
Molecule: ribosomal RNA, 468 nt
Filed under: uncultured bacterium
Lineage: Bacteria
Description: partial 16S ribosomal RNA
Rfam family: Bacterial small subunit ribosomal RNA
Source: RNAcentral